UGCCCAGUGGAGAGGGGCCCCCAGUGCCCAGAGGCCCUCCCCAGUGGCUCACAGCCCUGACCCCUCAAGGCGUCAGGGCGGGGCAUUUCCUGGAGCCGGGGUAGGGCGGACUGAAACCUCAGGCCCUCGCUGGAAGCUGUGCCUUACCCUCCCACCAGCUUCCUGUCCAGCCUGUGCCCGCACCAGAUCCGCCUGCCUGGGGGAUGAGGGACCAGCUCCUGGGGCGUCUCAUACUGAGGCUCUUCACCAGGCACGAGAUGGAUGGGCUGCCCCCCACCGCUGUCCGCUGCUCAGUGUCCCUGCCAGGCCACCCCAGGGCCACUGAUGAUUUCACGGCGAGGUGUGCCUGAUGGCUAGGGCUGCAGAGGCAUCGCAUGCUUGCAGCUGGAGCUGGCCACGCUCACCACAAAGAAGGGCCUCACCGACCGCAUUUCAGAGGUCUCUAUGUGAUCUUCCUGCAGAGUUUCCCUUCCACAGCUUAGAGCACUCUCCUAGGGUUUCUUCACAACCUUCUCCUCCUUCAGAAAAGUUGCCGCACACUGAAAUUCCUAAUCACAUUUUCCCCAGUGACUCCUAUUGUUAUGGAAAAAGCCCCACCUGCCUGGCUGGGAAUCUUCGAAGACAAAGGUGAUCAGUCUUCCUACAGAAAUGUCACUGGACUGUUCACUCUGGGGGCCAGAACCCCUCACCCUCACUCCCAACUUCCCAGUCUACAUGCUCCUUCCUCUGGUGGAAGGAAAACCCUUUCUAUUGCCCCCCACCCCACCUCCACAAUAAUUUUCUCCUCAUGUCUGGCUAAUUAAAUUGAUCACAGGUGAGUGUGGA
This is a non-coding RNA of Equus caballus (horse), 825 nucleotides long. The record is from RefSeq and is a predicted model, not a curated record. Lineage: Eukaryota; Metazoa; Chordata; Mammalia; Perissodactyla; Equidae.